AGGUAUAAUUAUUACUCAAAUAA
This 23-nucleotide small nuclear RNA is filed under the name Arabidopsis thaliana (thale cress). Its description in RNAcentral is "snRNA_12593". Lineage: Eukaryota; Viridiplantae; Streptophyta; Magnoliopsida; Brassicales; Brassicaceae. The record is from RNAcentral.